GCCUGCUGCCGGACAGGACGUGGCUUUGUUCCUCCUUUGCCUUCUGCCAUGAUUGUGAGGCCUCCCCAGCCACGUGGAACUGCAGCCCUCCAGGACCCAGGGCCAGCUGCAGAAGAAGCACGGCACGCUGGGAAAUCAAACAGGGGCUCCAGGUUCUCAAAGGAAGGAGUCCGAGGCAGCACCGGCAGAGCCUUGAGCCAAUGUCUCCUCAGGGCAGCGAGCAGGCUUCCUGAGGCAGGAGUGGCUCCAGCUGCCUGCCUUCCCUGUGCCAAAGGUCAGCCCGGGACUCUGGUGACACUGACCCUCCGUGAAAGCCCUCCCAGUCUCUGCACAAAUCCAGGGAAGGCAUCAGAGAAGGACAAUGUGCAGCUUCUUAGGUGGCCUCUCCAGCAUCACUAGCUGGGUAUCCAGGACUGGGCUGCUCAGCUCCACCAGGUGCAAGGCCCAUGCAGGGCAUCCUGAGUGAUGAUGCAUCUCACUUUUGCAUCUCUGUUGCAAACUCAAGGUUUCUGAAAAACCUGACACUUCCAGGGGACAUUGAUGCAUCUUAGCUCCCCGAAAUGAAGCACACAUCUCUCCCGUCCUAGGCAGGACCUUGAAGGACCCUCUCUGCAGGGAAGGCCUGGCUGGGCAGGGCAGCCUGUCCUGUUUGCAGCAUCAGGGAAUGAAGCAGGCUAAAGCCAGCACCUGAGACCUGCUCUGCCCACUCCUAUGCAACCGCUGCCUUGUGGUGGUGUGUUUUGGACCCUGCCUCUGGCCUGCUCCGAAAGAGCCCCACUGAACACGGGAAGGGAACUGACUUCAGUAUUGCCACGAGUGUUUGGGCACCGGGAGUGGGAAGAGGGUGAACACACUGCAGGACCCACUUUUUCAACAGAUGCCACUGGGAAGAGCCCAAAGUGAGCAGCCAGCCUGGGGCCUGGGCCUUCCCAGGGGCGAGGGAACACGCUGCGGCCCCAGGGCUAUCGGCGAACUCCACGCUUUCGGACGCAGCCACGAGAACCUUACAGGCAAACCUUGAGGAGGAAAAGUGAAUACCAACCGACAGGCUGGGCCGUCCGGCGCUCCUUCUGGGAGGGAACGUGACUGACUCGAGGAAGGGUGUGCGCCACGGAGCGGCGGUGGGCAGCACCGAACACAGAAGGACCUGAAGCCCCCAGUGCCCAUGGGGCACGCUGCCCUGCAUUGGAACCCCAGGGUCCCAUGGUGAGGCCCUGCUCUCCUGGUGGGAGGGAUUGUCUGCAGUAUUCUCUCAGUAUGGUGCAUCGGGGGUAGCCCUGCCCAGAUAAAAUUCCCAUUUCUGGUUUUUUCU
This is a long non-coding RNA of Pongo pygmaeus (Bornean orangutan), 1312 nucleotides long. RefSeq lists it as uncharacterized. The transcript has 3 exons. Lineage: Eukaryota; Metazoa; Chordata; Mammalia; Primates; Hominidae. The record is from RefSeq and is a predicted model, not a curated record.